CAGGCCUAACACAUGCAAGUCGAACGGUAACAGGAAGCAGCUUGCUGCUUUGCUGACGAGUGGCGGACGGGUGAGUAAUGUCUGGGAAACUGCCUGAUGGAGGGGGAUAACUACUGGAAACGGUAGCUAAUACCGCAUAACGUCGCAAGACCAAAGAGGGGGACCUUCGGGCCUCUUGCCAUCGGAUGUGCCCAGAUGGGAUUAGCUAGUAGGUGGGGUAACGGCUCACCUAGGCGACGAUCCCUAGCUGGUCUGAGAGGAUGACCAGCCACACUGGAACUGAGACACGGUCCAGACUCCUACGGGAGGCAGCAGUGGGGAAUAUUGGACAAUGGGCGAAAGCCUGAUCCAGCAAUGCCGCGUGAGUGAUGAAGGCCUUAGGGUUGUAAAGCUCUUUUACCCGGGAUGAUAAUGACAGUACCGGGAGAAUAAGCUCCGGCUAACUCCGUGCCAGCAGCCGCGGUAA
This 466-nucleotide ribosomal RNA is filed under the name uncultured bacterium. RNAcentral's name for it is "bacterial SSU rRNA". It matches the Rfam family "Bacterial small subunit ribosomal RNA", at positions 43 to 523 of the family's 1533-position model. The record is from RNAcentral.